UACGAAGGGGGCUAGCGUUGCUCGGAAUCACUGGGCGUAAAGGGUGCGUAGGCGGGUCUUUAAGUCAGGGGUGAAAUCCUGGAGCUCAACUCCAGAACUGCCUUUGAUACUGAGGAUCUUGAGUUCGGGAGAGGUGAGUGGAACUGCGAGUGUAGAGGUGAAAUUCGUAGAUAUUCGCAAGAACACCAGUGGCGAAGGCGGCUUACUGGUCCGGAUCUGACGCUGAGGCGCGAAAGCGUGGGGAGCAAACAGG
RNAcentral lists this ribosomal RNA (253 nucleotides) under uncultured bacterium. RNAcentral describes it as "partial 16S ribosomal RNA". It matches the Rfam family "Bacterial small subunit ribosomal RNA", at positions 524 to 776 of the family's 1533-position model. The record is from RNAcentral.